UUGGAGGGCAAGUCUGGUGCCAGCAGCCGCGGUAAUUCCAGCUCCAAUAGCGUAUAUUAAAGUUGUUGCAGUUAAAAAGCUCGUAGUUGAAUUUCGAGACCGGCUUACUGGUCGUGCUAUUGUACGUACUGGUAUAAUCGGUUUCUCCUUUCUGACGAACUAUAAUGCCAUUAAUUUGGUGUUUUAGGGAAUCAGGACUGUUACUUUGAAAAAAUUAGAGUGUUUAAAGCAGGCUCACGCUUGAAUACAUUAGCAUGGAAUAACGGAAUAGGACGUUUGAUUCUAUUUUGUUGGUUUCUAGGAUCGACGUAAUGACUAAUAGGGAUAGUUGGGGGCAUUAGUAUUCAAUUGUCAGAGGUGAAAUUCUUGGAUUUAUUGAAGACUAACUACUGCGAAAGCAUUUGCCAAGGAUGUUUUCAUUAAUCAAGAACGAAAGUUAGGGGAUCGAAGACGAUCAGAUACCGUCGUAGUCUUAACCAUAAACUAUGCCGACUAGGGAUCGGAUGAUGUUAAUUUUUUAAUGACUCAUUCGGCGCCUUACGGGAAAC
This 548-nucleotide ribosomal RNA is filed under the name uncultured Glomus. RNAcentral's name for it is "SSU rRNA". It matches the Rfam family "Eukaryotic small subunit ribosomal RNA", at positions 548 to 1098 of the family's 1831-position model. Lineage: Eukaryota; Fungi; Glomeromycota; Glomeromycetes; Glomerales; Glomeraceae. The record is from RNAcentral.